This is a long non-coding RNA of Dermacentor albipictus, 341 nucleotides long. RefSeq lists it as uncharacterized. Lineage: Eukaryota; Metazoa; Arthropoda; Arachnida; Ixodida; Ixodidae. The record is from RefSeq and is a predicted model, not a curated record.
GCUUUACCGCAUACCACGGCUGCAUUGUGGCAAAGCUGACCUUAACAAACCAUGCUGCUAAGCCGACUUCAGGGAACCGACCACCAUUAUAAAAACUUGGGAGCUGUGAAAAUCUAUAGUGCCACAGCAAGACGAUAUGGGGACUUCAAGACAGCGUCACCACGUGCCUUCUGUUUUUGAGUCUUUUCUGGGCUUGUGAAGCCUUUCCUUAUGGCUGGCUCGGACUGCACUAAUUUCAAGGAUUUUCAGCACCUCUUCGACACAGAAAAGGCACACCUAAAAGCCGUCCCAAAACUUACAGCUUCACAUGUGAACCCUGGAAAGCUGGAAAAAAUGAAUGU